This 253-nucleotide ribosomal RNA is filed under the name uncultured bacterium. RNAcentral's name for it is "partial 16S ribosomal RNA". It matches the Rfam family "Bacterial small subunit ribosomal RNA", at positions 524 to 776 of the family's 1533-position model. The record is from RNAcentral.
GACAGAGGGUGCAAACGUUGUUCGGAAUUACUGGGCGUAAAGCGCGUGUAGGCGGCUCUGCAAGUCGGAUGUGAAAUCCCACGGCUCAACCAUGGAAGUGCAUUCGAAACUGCAGGGCUAGAGUUCUGGAGAGGAAGGUGGAAUGCUUGGUGUAGAGGUGAAAUUCGUAGAUAUCAAGCGGAACACCGGUGGCGAAGGCGGCCUUCUGGACAGUAACUGACGCUGAGGCGCGAAAGCGUGGGGAGCAAACAGG